Molecule: ribosomal RNA, 850 nt
Filed under: Rhizobium sp. Pe66
Lineage: Bacteria; Pseudomonadati; Pseudomonadota; Alphaproteobacteria; Hyphomicrobiales; Rhizobiaceae
Description: bacterial SSU rRNA
Rfam family: Bacterial small subunit ribosomal RNA
Source: RNAcentral
GGGGAGCGCCCAGGGGUAAUAACACGUGGGAAUCUACCCAUCCCUGCUGGAACAACUCCGCGGAAACUGGAGCUUAUACCGCAUACGCCCUUCGGGGGAAAGAUUNAUCGCGGGAUGGAUAGAGCCCGCGUUGGAUUAGCUAUGUUGCUGGGGUAAAGGCCUACCAAGGCGACAACUCCAUAGCUGGUCUGAGAGGAUGAUCAGCCACAUUGGGACUGAGACACGGCCCAGACUCCUACGGGAGGCAGCAGUGGGGAAUAUUGGACAAUGGGCGCAAAGCCUGAUCCAGCCAUGCCGCGUGAGUGAUGAAGGCCUUAGGGUUGUACAAUGCUCUUUCACCGAAUAAAAGAUCAUGACGGUGUCGGAGAAGAAGCCCCGGCUAAACUUCGUGCCAGCAGCCGCGGUAAUACGAAGGGGGCUACGCGUUGUUCGGAAUUACUGGGCGUAAAGCGCACGUAGGCGGAUAUUUANCGAUCAGGGGUGANNAUCCCGCAGCUCAACUGCGGAACUGCCUUUGAUACUGGGUACUCUUGAGUAUGGAAGAGGUUAGCUGGAAUUGCGACGCUGUAGAGGUGAAAUUCGUAGAUUUCGCAGGAACACCAGUGGCGAAGGCGGCUACUGGUCCAUAACUGACGCUAGGUGCGAAAGCGUGGGGAGCAAACAGGAUUAGAUACCUGGUAGUCCACGCCGUAACGAUGAAAUGUUAGCCGUCGGCAGUUACUUGUCGGUGGCGCAGCUUACGCAUUAACAAUUCCGCCUGGGAGUACUGUCGCAAGAAUUAAAACUCAAAAGGAAUGACGGGCCGAACAGCGGUGCAGCAUGUGGUUAUCNAAGCAGACGCAGAACUUAC